This 253-nucleotide ribosomal RNA is filed under the name uncultured bacterium. Its description in RNAcentral is "partial 16S ribosomal RNA". It matches the Rfam family "Bacterial small subunit ribosomal RNA", at positions 524 to 776 of the family's 1533-position model. The record is from RNAcentral.
UACGGGGGGGGCGAGCGUUGUUCGGAAUUACUGGGCGUAAAGGGUGCGUAGGCGGCUCGCUAAGUUGGAUGUGAAAACUCUGGGCUCAACCCAGAGACUGCAUCCAAUACUGACGAGCUAGAGUUCUGGAGGGGGUAGCGGAAUUCCUGGUGUAGCGGUGAAAUGCGUAGAUAUCAGGAGGAACACCGGUGGCGAAGGCGGCUACCUGGACAGAGUCUGACGCUGAGGCACGAAAGCUAGGGGAGCAAACAGG